This 72-nucleotide transfer RNA is filed under the name Candidatus Moraniibacteriota bacterium. Its description in RNAcentral is "tRNA-Glu". It matches the Rfam family "tRNA". Rfam says of the family: Transfer RNA (tRNA) molecules are approximately 80 nucleotides in length. Lineage: Bacteria; Candidatus Moraniibacteriota. The record is from RNAcentral.
GGCCCUAUCGUCUAACGGUUAGGACAUCUCCCUCUCACGGAGGAAAUAGGGGUUCGAUUCCCCUUAGGGCUA